AAGUUGUAAACGCACAGCACGUGAUUAGCGUCUAAGUGGUAAGCUAGCAGUCACACGGAUUCCCGAGACUUUUUACGACCUCUUUUCAGGUCUCGUCCAAAUAGGCGAGUAAAGAUUUCGGCUGCUGCUCUUGUGUGGAAAAAGUAGAAGAGAAGCUUCCAAGUUGUCAGCAGAUGACGCCAGACCUCCUGAGCUCAGCCAUUGGACAGCUCACAGACACGUGACCGGGGCAGCUUCCUGGUUGGACCAGGAUGAAGCAUCUGGAUGCCCGCUGGAGCCUCCACAACAUUCCACUAGAUGAAUCCACAGACGAGCACGUUGGAGCAUUCUGACAGACGCUGGAUAUAGAAGCAGAUGCCGUGUCAGGAAGCGGAGAACGUCGUAGAGCUGGAGAAGGAAUUCCACUUGUGACACGCUAACAUGUCGGAAAUGGCACAGAUCACCAGUUUUGGUUCUAGAAACCCAGGAUGAGGCAGCACAGCAGCAAGAAUACCGCCCAGUGGUUUUUAUGUAACUCCAUAGAUAUCUCCAAGUUGUCCCGUUUUCCCAUACAUAGCGUGGAUUAUUUCCAACUGUCUCAUAGCGAGGCCUUCACUGAUCAGACCUUGCCCUCACCGACCAUGGCCCAUUGCAUUUCAGCACCAGCGUCAAUAAUCAACAACAUUUGCCCCGUUGGCCCAUUAGCGGCCAUCUUAAUCUGAAUGAUACAUUUACUUUCACUCAUUAGCUUCAAUCUCGUAGCACACCACUGGGAUACUUUAAUGAAACUACCGUUUAUGAACAUUACCGCAAAUCUGCUGCCUCUCUUUUUGAGCACAGCGUGCAGAAACCGUCUAAAAUAUUAUGUGGAGUAUUGUUGCAUGCUUGAAACAUAGGAUAGUUUCUCUAUACGCCUCUUUUCUGUAUGAUGUGCUCUAGAUCGUAACAUGAUUGAAUAAUGCUCACAUUGAAUGAAACAAUUCUUUGAUAUUGUUGUUGCUUGUCAUUUUCCGUACACGCUUAAUAAAGGCAAAAUAAUGAUAAUAA
Doryrhamphus excisus (bluestripe pipefish) is the source of this 1026-nucleotide non-coding RNA. The record is from RefSeq and is a predicted model, not a curated record. NCBI's taxonomy places the organism in Eukaryota, Metazoa, Chordata, Actinopteri, Syngnathiformes, Syngnathidae.